AUGGUUCGGAAUGUCCCUGACCCUGAUAGCGAUGAUUUCAUGCCGCCAAGAGCUCAACAUGCGGGUGGCGAUAAUCACAAUGCAAAGAAGCAGAAAGCCGCGCGCAACAGGGGAUCACAUGAACGUCUAACAGAACUGUAUCGAGAUUUUGAUGACGCCCAGAAAGAAGCUGCAAAGGAAAUGGGGAUGCAGUCGCCGAUGAACAUUAAGUGCACCAACUUGAAUAACCCCAUGUGCGACUGGUUUGCGAGGUUAUACCAUCCGCAGAAGAGAGAAUUUGUCAUACCAGGACGUGGUAGGAUUCUACUAGAUGAAGAAUCUGUCUUCAACACACUUGGUGUCCCCAAUGGCGGCAUGGAUGUCCCUUACAAGGUGGAUACGAAGGUGCAAGUACGUCUUUUCCCUGAAAUGUUCCUUGGGCUUAUGGCCCUCCCAGCGAACUCUGCUUUUGCAAAUAUGAUUGGUGCGAUGCAAACAAGCGACGAUGACUUCAAGAGGAAGCUACUCAUGUACCUGAUCUCAAAUGUCUUUGCUCCCACGACAUUGUUACGCCCCAGCAGCAGAUGCUUUCCUGUUCCGGACUAG
Molecule: ribosomal RNA, 585 nt
Filed under: Triticum aestivum (bread wheat)
Lineage: Eukaryota; Viridiplantae; Streptophyta; Magnoliopsida; Poales; Poaceae
Description: partial small subunit ribosomal RNA
Source: RNAcentral